UACAGUUCAAGCUGCAGAUCAAAACAUUAAAGUAAUCUCUAAAGUAAUGUUAACAACAGACUUGGCGAAAAAAACUAAAAAAAAUAAAAAUAAUAAAAAAACUUUACUCUUCUAGGUUGUCCUCCAAACCGACGUUACGGCUUUGGCUGAGUGUUUUUUUUUUUUUUUUUUUUUUUUUUGCUUAAAAAAAUAAAAAUAAAUAAAAAAUCCACAAGUGUGUUAUUUCAUUGCGGCCAUAAUGAACAGCUUUUAAAUAAAUAGGGAAGCUAUGUCUACACGUAGAGUUUAAAGUACGUUCAUAAACUGAAGUGAAAUCAUUAUCGCGCAAACUGAGGGAAAAAAAGACAUUUGUAAAUGCCAUUAACCUCUCUGUUCCAAUACGUGCACAAGUGAUAAUAUAUAGAUGGGACUGUCAUUAAAACAGUUACGUGCUCCUUGUGGAUUCAUUUGCGCUGACCCAGAAUGCAGUAUUUUCUUAACACUAGCAGCAGGCCGCUUUGAUGUUAUCUGCCUGUCUAAACAGCCUGACUGGCGCUCGUGGAGAGCAGCGCCUUCCCCUGAUCUGCCGCGGUGUACGGAGGAGCCAUAUUAAUCAUCCUGAAGUCUGCGAGAGCGCCGUCAUAAAUCGCGCGGCACGGUCCUUAACUCAGAGAGUCCCUGGACGGCCUCUCCUCGUUCAUCAACACGCUCCGACUCCGGAUGCAGGGGCAGGGGCUACAUUGCCCUGAGCAACCCACAAGAACAGCUCAUCAACACUCCGAGUCCUUUCAUGUUUGUACCUCCAGCUCCUAAAAUGGCCGUGGUUAGGAAUGGCUCAUCGGUGCAGUGUGUGAGUGAUGGCUCUCUCAAGGGCCAAGACAAUAGCUGUAGUCAGGUUACACUCUUGGACACGUCCCCAGCACACACACUUGUGCCUGUAUGUGGCGUUCUUCACACACAUAUGCGUUGACACAUGCCCCCAAUACAUCAUUUACAGCAGUGUCAAAAAUUACAGCUGCUCACUUUCAGCAUGAGAAAUCAUUUUAGACACAAUUGUAUGGGAGCCCCCCCCCCCACCCCACCAAAAAAAAUAAAAAAAUCACACAAUUCUUACUUUUUUUUUUUCACAAAAAAUCUGAGUUUGUAUCUCACAAUUUGUACUCCACAGGAUUAAUAUAAUUUGUUUUUAUAAAUUUGAAAUUAUGAGAACUGUGUUAGAACUGUGAGAUAAUCUUGUCAUUACAAAUUAUCUUUUUUAUUAAUAUUAAAACACAUGUUUCUUGUGAGUUUCUAUCUAAGACAUUUUUUGUCUCAGUAAGAAAUGUGUUUUUUGUUUUUGCAUCAGAAUAAAAUAAAAAAGAAGAAAAGUAAUUGCAACUUUAUAUCUCACAAUUCUGAUCAAAUUUUAAAUUUUCUUAGAAUUGUGAGAUAUAAAUUCUGAAGUGCAAUUUUAUAACUUGCAAUUCUGAGAAAAAUUCUUAUUAUGAGUUUUUUGCUCACAAUUGCAAGGCAUAAACAAUAUAAAGUUUGAUAAAAGAACGUUAAGAUAUAACACAACUGCAAGAAAAUUGUGUUUUGUAAUUCUGCUUCAUAAAAACAUAAAAGGUACAGUAUUGGCUUUUUAUUAUACAAUUUAAACUUUAGAGUUAAUGUACUGUACAAUUCUGAAAGAAAAAAAACUGUGAAUUGUGGGAUAUAAUAUCAAAAUUGCGUGAAAAAAAAAGUCUGAAUUGUGAGUUAUUUUUUAUUUUUAUUUUUAUUUUUUACAUGGCAGAAACAUAAAACAGUUAAAUUGCAAGACCACAUCUCACAAAUCUGACUGUUCUCCUCAAAUUGUGGAUUUUUAUCUUGCAGUUCUGAAGUUCUAAGUAACUUAGAAUUGCAAGAAGAAAAAAUUAAAUGUGAGAGAAAUAUUUUAUUUAGUGGCAAAAAAAUCAUAAAACACAAUUAUGACUUUAUUUCUUGCAAUUGCACAUUUGUAUCUCAGCAUUCAGAGUUUCAGAACUGCAAAGUUUAUAUCUAUCUUUGCUUUUAUAUCUCACCAUUCAGAAUUACAAGAAAAAGCACUAAACUGUGAGAUUUAAAGUCACAAUUACUUUUUAUUUAUUUUUAUUCUGUGGCAGAAAUAAGAUUCAAUAUCAUCAUCAUCAUCAUUAUUAUAGAAGUUUAUUGUAUCAUCUCUCUAGUAUUCUGAGAACUCCUAACCAAAGGUAAAACCACAUAUUUGAAGAGAAUUAAACAUAUGUUGAAAAACGGAGCCACCACCCUCUAAUUCACAGGCCUACGCACAAGAGUAUAAACAACACAUAAGUGGUUUCCCAGGCUCUUGAUGAGGACUGGAUGAGGAUCUCAAGGUUAUAACACUGGUUCCCUGUGUGGGGCAGGACAGGGGGACAGAAAGUCCAUCAUCGGAACCACACUGGACUUGUCCUCGCUCUGGCAACCCAACAAAGCCUUCAAAAGACAGAUGACAUGCACACAAAGAAAACACAGGUGGCUAUAGACCACCUGGAGAAAAAGAGAGAUGGAGAGAGAGAAAUAGGUGGCUCCCCUUUGAACUUUCCCACCCCCAACAGUCUUCCGGUCAGAACACUUUGACCAAUAUAUCUAUGAUCAUCUACAGUGAUCAGUUGUUUUGUGACCUAACUGGCUUUGGGGGGAAAUUAAAUAUAAUAAUAAUAAUAGAAAAAAAAGCAGUAAUCAAAGAAAAAUGUGGCUACUUAGAAAGAACCUAGAAU
This is a long non-coding RNA of Carassius auratus (goldfish), 2717 nucleotides long. NCBI's taxonomy places the organism in Eukaryota, Metazoa, Chordata, Actinopteri, Cypriniformes, Cyprinidae. The record is from Ensembl.